RNAcentral lists this ribosomal RNA (442 nucleotides) under uncultured bacterium. RNAcentral's name for it is "partial 16S ribosomal RNA". It matches the Rfam family "Bacterial small subunit ribosomal RNA", at positions 338 to 795 of the family's 1533-position model. The record is from RNAcentral.
CCUACGGGCGGCUGCAGUGGGGAAUAUUGGGCAAUGGGCGCAAGCCUGACCCAGCAACGCCGCGUGAAGGACGAAGGCUUUCGGGUUGUAAACUUCUUUUAAGAGGGAAGGGCAGAAGACGGUACCUCUUGAAUAAGCCACGGCUAACUACGUGCCAUCAGCCGAGGUAAUACGUAGGUGGCAAGCGUUUUCCUGAUUUACUGGGUGUAAAGGACGUGAAGCCGGGAAGACAAGUCAGAUGUGAAAUCCCGCGGCUCAACCGCGGAACUGCAUUUGAAACUGUUUUUCUUGAGUACCGGAGAGGUAGGCGGAAUUCCUAGUGUAGCGGUGAAAUGCGUAGAUAGUAGGAGGAACACCAGUGGCGAAGGCGGCCUACUGGACGGUGACUGACGCUGAGGCUCGAAAGCGUGGGGAGCAAACAGGAUUAGAUACCCUUGUAGUC